UGAGGAAUCUUGCGCAAUGGACGAAAGUCUGACGCAGCGACGCCGCGUGGAGGAUGAAGGUCUUAGGAUUGUAAACUUCUGUUAAGUGGGAAGAAACGCAUCUCUCUAAUACAGAGAUGAACUGACGGUACCAUUAGAGAAAGCACCGGCUAACUUCGUGCCAGCAGCCGCGGUAAUACGAAGGGUGCGAACGUUAUUCGGAAUAAUUGGGCGUAAAGGGUGCGUAGGCGGUAUAUUAAGUCAACUGUUAAAUUCAUCGGCCUAACCGAUGAUCUGCAGUAGAUACUGGUAUGCUAGAGUAUGGAAGAGAGAAGUGGAAUUCUCGGAGUAGCGGUAAAAUGCGUAGAUCUCGAGAGGAACACCGAUGGCGAAGGCAGCUUCUUGGUCCAUUACUGACGCUGAUGCACGAAAGCGUGGGGAGCAAACAGG
RNAcentral lists this ribosomal RNA (429 nucleotides) under uncultured bacterium. Its description in RNAcentral is "bacterial SSU rRNA". It matches the Rfam family "Bacterial small subunit ribosomal RNA", at positions 355 to 776 of the family's 1533-position model. The record is from RNAcentral.